CUUGGUCAUUUAGAGGAAGUAAAAGUCGUAACAAGGUUUCCGUAGGUGAACCUGCGGAAGGAUCAUUAUUGAAAAAGCUUUGGAGGUACUGUUGCUAUGUUCACUUGUGGCAUGUGCACGUAUCUCUAAUCCUAUUCAUCCACCUGUGCACUUUUUGUAGGAGUUCUUGAGGAUUGGCUUAUAUAGUCGAUUUGAAAAGACGCUUCUAUGUUUUUACAAACCAUUAUGCAUGUUUAGAAUGUUCUUUUACUGGGACUUUAUUGACCCUUUAAAAUCUAUACAACUUUCAGCAACGGAUCUCUUGGCUCUCCCAUCGAUGAAGAACGCAGCGAAAUGCGAUAAGUAAUGUGAAUUGCAGAAUUCAGUGAAUCAUCGAAUCUUUGAACGCACCUUGCGCCCUCUGGUAUUCCGGAGGGCAUGCCUGUUUGAGUGUCAUUAAAUUCUCAACUUCAAUAGUUUGUAAUGAACUUAUUGAAGCUUGGACGUGGAGGCUUGCUGGCGUCUCAGAUGUUCGGCUCCUCUUAAAUGCAUUAGUGGAUCCCGUUAGUUGGACUACACUCUGGUGUGAUAAUUAUCUACACUUUAGUUCGUUCAGCAGCUCUGUGAAUGUUUUUCGGAAACACUUUGUUUCUGGUUUGGGUUUCGCAUUAGUAUGCUUUACCUGGUUCAUUAGAGUAGGGUUUUAUCUGCUUUCAAAUCGUCUGUGUAUGCGGACAAUCUUUGACUAUUUGACCUCAAAUCAGGUAGGACUACCCGCUGAACUUAAGCAUAUCAAUAAGCGGAGGA
Molecule: ribosomal RNA, 786 nt
Filed under: uncultured Gymnopus
Lineage: Eukaryota; Fungi; Basidiomycota; Agaricomycetes; Agaricales; Tricholomataceae
Description: eukaryotic LSU rRNA
Rfam family: 5.8S ribosomal RNA (bases 282-435)
Source: RNAcentral